RNAcentral lists this long non-coding RNA (461 nucleotides) under Salmo salar (Atlantic salmon). RNAcentral's name for it is "lncRNA (ENSSSAG00000091883.1)". The record is from RNAcentral. Lineage: Eukaryota; Metazoa; Chordata; Actinopteri; Salmoniformes; Salmonidae.
GUCAGGCUGAGAACAGUGACACUGGAGAUGCGCGUUCAUGUGAAUUCUCCAUGUUUUUCUUUCUCUCUUUGAAUGAAUACAACAUCGCCCGGUUGGAAUAUUAUCGCUAUUUUACGAGAAAAAUAGCAUAAAAAUUUAUUUUAAACAGCGUUUGACACGCUUCGAAGUACGGUAAUGGAAUAUUUAGAAUUUUUUGGUCACGAAAUGCGCUCGCGCGUCACCCUUCGGAUACUGACCUGAACGCACAAACAAAAUGGAGCUAUUUGAAUAUAACUAUGGAUUUUUUGGAACCAAAACAGCAUUUGUUCUUGAAGUAGAAGUCCUGGGAGUGCAUUCUGACGAAGAACAGCAAAGGAGCAUGCUAUUCCCGUCAGUGGCGUAUGCUUGAGCUUGCUGAGUGAUCCCGACGUGGGCAUCAUCACAGUGAGUGAGAGCCACAGGUUUGCUGAGUACCGUGCUCC